Long non-coding RNA from Rhinichthys klamathensis goyatoka, 377 nucleotides. RefSeq lists it as uncharacterized. The record is from RefSeq and is a predicted model, not a curated record. The transcript has 2 exons. Lineage: Eukaryota; Metazoa; Chordata; Actinopteri; Cypriniformes; Leuciscidae.
CAGUCAUUGACAUGAUAUCUGGUGUUCUUCCUUAUUCCAGGUAUGGGCACGGGACAGUUGGUGGGGAUCGUAAUCGGCGCAUUGGUCGGAGUGAUUGUUGUCAUUGCUGUUAUCAUCUUGGUGGUCAGAAGAAUGGGCCAGUACUCCCCCUGAAAAGGAAGGCACGACAGGAAGAGAAGAAGAAGAAAUUGCGGAAGUUCUGAACUAUUGUUCUAAUGUUUUAAACAAUGCAAGCAGCACUCUCACCAUCCAUCCAGGACUAUAAGGGGAGCAGGAGAGUGCCCCAUCCCCUUUCCAAUUGAAAAAGAUGCCCUCCCCAACCCUCUGACAAAGACACCUCCCCAACGCCCACAAGCCCCUUAUUUAGCCCGGAAAAA